UGUCGGCUCGACAAGCUUUUCUCAACACCGGGUUCAACCUGUAGUCUGGAGGAGGAAGAGGAAGAGGGAGGAUGAUGAAGGUGUCAGUAAGACACUGAAGAACGUUUCUGGCGUCGGCUUCAGUGCAGAACCGCUGCAGGAGAGAGUUUCAACUCUCAUCAGCUGGUAGUCGAGCUCGGGGUCGGUCAUCUCCACCUCCUGCAGCCGGAAGAUCCGCUGGUGGCAGCGCUGACUGAGCUGCUUCUUCUGCUCCUUCAGACACUCGAUCAUCUGAGGAGGAGACGGGGGACGCAGAUCAGAGAGACGAGGGGAGAGGCGGAGAAAAGAGAGGAGAGACGAAGAGGGGACAGAAGGAAAAAGAUCAGACGGAGGGAGGGACAAGAGGAAAGAUAAGAGAAGUGGUUCUGAUGUUUCUA
Long non-coding RNA from Thunnus maccoyii (southern bluefin tuna), 416 nucleotides. RefSeq lists it as uncharacterized. The transcript has 3 exons. NCBI's taxonomy places the organism in Eukaryota, Metazoa, Chordata, Actinopteri, Scombriformes, Scombridae. The record is from RefSeq and is a predicted model, not a curated record.